GAGAGAGAGAGAGAGAGAGAGAGAGAGAGAGAGAGAGAGAGAGAGAGAGAGAGAGAGAGAGAGAGAGAGAGAGAGAGAGAGAGAGAGUUAACUAAAUGGGACCAAAUAAAGAAAAUAGAUUUAUGUAGAUAAGAUACAAGAGACAUGAUAAAGAUAGUAGAUAGGAAGAAAA
This is a long non-coding RNA of Portunus trituberculatus (swimming crab), 172 nucleotides long. RefSeq lists it as uncharacterized. The record is from RefSeq and is a predicted model, not a curated record. Lineage: Eukaryota; Metazoa; Arthropoda; Malacostraca; Decapoda; Portunidae. The transcript is spliced from 2 exons.